UGGUUACAUUGUUUCAAUAGUCAAGCAAUACAUCGUUUCACUAAAAGGUUCAUAUUCAACCAUUGCAACUUUCCAAAUUUAUAUUUUGGAAGUUUCUCUCACACUAUCACCUUUGAUAAGGCAUAACAAUCGUAUCAAAAGCCAAAAUUUCUCCCUUAUCUGGCUCGAGAAAAGUAGAAGGAAAGAUACAAGUACUUAGACGACGAUAGAUUUUUCCACCAGAGCCACCCUAUUCAAAAGAGGAGUCGGUGGUGGUGUUGAGGAUACGAGUUAUGUGUGGCGUGCGGAGGUUUCGGAAAUGCAAGAUCACUUGUUUGUUAAAUGUGGUUUCGCAAGUGAUAUUUGGUAUGAAUUUUUAAUUUGUUUGGGGUAGUUAGUGAUUGUGCUUCCAGGUAACAUUUAUCCCAUGCUUCUUAGCUAUAUGUCUCAUACUCGAAUAGGGAAGGGAAUGAAAGGGUUGAUGUUAGUAUGACAUUGUCGAUAUGGAAGUUUAGGAAUUUUCACAUAUUUUGUGCAAAGUCCCUCAAAGUGGUGGAGGUGUUCGAUACUACUAUCAAGAAUCUGUAUUGGAAUUGAUUUUUAGGAAAAUAGGGGAUUUGCCUUGUCUCUUUUAUGAAUGGUUUGAUCACCCUUUAGAUAUUUCAAGAUAGAUUUGUUUGUUUUGUUUCCAUCCGUCAGACUAAUUUUUGGGGUCGGAUGAAUAUUACUUGUACUUUAUCACGUUGAAUGGAUUUAAUACCACUUGUGCGUUUCUAUUCCUUUUCUAAUAAAACUUUUUUGAUGUUAAAAAAAAAAGAUGUUUAUUAUUAUAAAUUUAAAAUGUAUAAACAAUAUAAAAAUACAUAUUUCUAAAAAUUGCGACAUUAAUUAAAUAUUGAUUAUACACCAAAAUUAUGAUAAUGAAAGUGCCUAUUUCUUUUGUCGGUCUCUGUGUUAUAUCGCCAUUUUAGAAUCUCAAAAUGUAAUCGAGAAAACACACUAAAUUGUUUUUCCUUUUGGCGCUUCAUAAUAUUUAUUAG
RNAcentral lists this long non-coding RNA (1019 nucleotides) under Medicago truncatula (barrel medic). RNAcentral's name for it is "lncRNA gene31677". The record is from RNAcentral. Lineage: Eukaryota; Viridiplantae; Streptophyta; Magnoliopsida; Fabales; Fabaceae.